AUUGAACGCUGGCGGCAUGCCUAACACAUGCAAGUCGAACGAGUGGCGGACGGGUGAGUAAUUUCUGGGAAACUGCCUGAUGUAGGGGGAUAACUACUGGAAACGUUAGCUAAUACCGCAUACCAUCAGAUGUGCCCAGGUUGGAUUAGCUUGUUGGUGGGGUAACGGCGCACCAAGGCGACGAUCCCUAGCUGGUCUGAGAGGAUGACCAGCCACACUGGAACUGAGACACGGUCCAGACUCCUACGGGAGGCAGCAGUGGGGAAUAUUGCACAAUGGGCGAAAGCCUGAUGCAGCAAUGCCGCGUGAGUGAAGAAGGCCUUCGGGUUGUAAAGCACUUUCAGCAGGGAGGCGGUACCCGCAGAAGAAGCACCGGCUAACUCCGUGCCAGCAGCCGCGGUAAUAC
Molecule: ribosomal RNA, 406 nt
Filed under: uncultured bacterium
Lineage: Bacteria
Description: partial 16S ribosomal RNA
Rfam family: Bacterial small subunit ribosomal RNA
Source: RNAcentral